CAUUGCUUGCAUAUAUAUAUUAUAUAUAUAUGUAUGUGUGUGUGUGUGUGUAUACACACACACACACACAUACACAGAGCAUGAGCAUGCACCAGAUCU
This 99-nucleotide microRNA precursor is filed under the name Mustela putorius furo (domestic ferret). RNAcentral describes it as "miRNA (ENSMPUG00000023731.1)". Lineage: Eukaryota; Metazoa; Chordata; Mammalia; Carnivora; Mustelidae. The record is from RNAcentral.